RNAcentral lists this ribosomal RNA (395 nucleotides) under uncultured bacterium. Its description in RNAcentral is "bacterial SSU rRNA". It matches the Rfam family "Bacterial small subunit ribosomal RNA", at positions 28 to 429 of the family's 1533-position model. The record is from RNAcentral.
GACGAACGCUGGCGGCGUGCUUAACACAUGCAAGUCGAGCGGUAAGGCCCUUUCGGGGGUACACGAGCGGCGAACGGGUGAGUAACACGUGGGUGACCUGCCCUCAGCUCUGGGAUAAGCCUGGGAAACUGGGUCUAAUACCGGAUAUGACUCCAUGACGCAUGUUGUGGGGUGGAAAGCCUUGUGCGGCUGAGGAUGGGCCCGCGGCCUAUCAGCUUGUUGGUGGGGNGAUGGCCUACCAAGGCGACGACGGGUAGCCGGCCUGAGAGGGCGACGGCCACACUGGGACUGAGACACGGCCCAGACUCCUACGGGAGGCAGCAGUGGGGAAUCUUGCGCAAUGGGCGAAAGCCUGACGCAGCGACGCCGCGUGAGGGAUGACGGCCUGGUGUAAC